AUUUAUAUAGUAUAAUAAUUAUAAUUGAUUUCCAAUCAAAAGAUCUAAAUUUUAGUAUAAAUA
Molecule: transfer RNA, 63 nt
Filed under: Nephus voeltzkowi
Lineage: Eukaryota; Metazoa; Arthropoda; Insecta; Coleoptera; Coccinellidae
Description: tRNA-Gly
Source: RNAcentral